This 244-nucleotide ribosomal RNA is filed under the name uncultured bacterium. RNAcentral describes it as "partial 16S ribosomal RNA". It matches the Rfam family "Bacterial small subunit ribosomal RNA", at positions 528 to 772 of the family's 1533-position model. The record is from RNAcentral.
UAGGGAGCGAGCGUUGUCCGGAAUUACUGGGUGUAAAGGGAGCGUAGGCGGGAUGGCAAGUUGGGUGUUAAAUCUACCGGCUCAACCGGUAGCCGCACUCAAAACUGCCGUUCUUGAGUGAAGUAGAGGCAGGCGGAAUUCCUAGUGUAGCGGUGAAAUGCGUAGAUAUUAGGAGGAACACCAGUGGCGAAGGCGGCCUGCUGGGCUUUUACUGACGCUGAGGCUCGAAAGUGUGGGGAGCAAA